This 424-nucleotide ribosomal RNA is filed under the name Verrucomicrobiota bacterium. Its description in RNAcentral is "Verrucomicrobia bacterium partial 16S ribosomal RNA". It matches the Rfam family "Bacterial small subunit ribosomal RNA", at positions 355 to 776 of the family's 1533-position model. The record is from RNAcentral. Lineage: Bacteria; Pseudomonadati; Verrucomicrobiota.
UGAGGAAUAUUGGUCAAUGGGCGAGAGCCUGAACCAGCCAAGUAGCGUGCAGGAUGACGGCCCUAUGGGUUGUAAACUGCUUUUAUAUGGGAAUAAAGUGAGGGACGUGUCCCUUAUUGCAUGUACCAUACGAAUAAGGACCGGCUAAUUCCGUGCCAGCAGCCGCGGUAAUACGGAAGGUCCAGGCGUUAUCCGGAUUUAUUGGGUUUAAAGGGAGCGUAGGCUGUUUGUUAAGCGUGUUGUGAAAUGUAAGAGCUCAACUUUUAGAUUGCAGCGCGAACUGGCAGACUUGAGUGCGCACAACGUAGGCGGAAUUCAUGGUGUAGCGGUGAAAUGCUUAGAUAUCAUGACGAACUCCGAUUGCGCAGGCAGCUUACUGUAGCAUAACUGACGCUGAUGCUCGAAAGUGCGGGUAUCAAACAGG